GGCUGUCUGCUAUGAUGAGCCUGCCUCCUCUUCAUUACCCUUAAUCUCUCAAUCCCUUGUCAAGCAAACAUCCGUUGCCAUUAUUGACGUAGACGGCAAGUUGAUUGGUGAGAUCUCGCCAUACGUACUGAACUCUUGCAACGAGUCAGUGGCUGCUGCAAUUGCUACUCUCUCUACUGGGGAUUUUAUGGCUUACAUAGACUGU
This 205-nucleotide unclassified non-coding RNA is filed under the name Hevea brasiliensis (rubber tree). The record is from RNAcentral. Lineage: Eukaryota; Viridiplantae; Streptophyta; Magnoliopsida; Malpighiales; Euphorbiaceae.